Molecule: ribosomal RNA, 293 nt
Filed under: uncultured bacterium
Lineage: Bacteria
Description: partial 16S ribosomal RNA
Rfam family: Archaeal small subunit ribosomal RNA
Source: RNAcentral
GUGCCAGCCGCCGCGGUAAUACCGGCAGCCCGAGUGAUGGCCGAUAUUAUUGGGCCUAAAGCGUCCGUAGCUGGCCGAACAAGUCCGUCGGGAAAUCCACGUGCUUAACGCGUGGGCGACCGGCGGAAACUGUCCGGCUUGGGGCCGGAGGACCCGAGGGGUACGUCCGGGGUAGGAGUGAAAUCCCGUAAUCCCGCACGGACCACCGAUGGCGAAAGCACUUCGAGAAAACGGAUCCGACAGUGAGGGACGAAAGCCAGGGUCUCCAACCGGAUUAGAUACCCUGGUAGUCC